CGGGGGCCCAAGGGCAGAAAGGGCUGCAGGGAUAGCCUCAUCAGAGGGCACUCAGGCAAUGGAAGAGAUGUGGCUGUGUUUCUGCUCUCUGCAGAAGAGAGUCCUGGAGGAGGGCCAGCAGCUGCCCCGGGUGCUGGGGAGACAGCAGAAGAGGGUGGACAUCAGCAGGGCCAGGGCGAUGAUGAAGGGACAUGAGAUAAGACACUUUGGUGACUGAUUCGGCCAAUGCUUCUUGAAGAGGAGUGAAUAUGGGCAGAGUCUGAGGUGGAGCCUGAAGCAGAUCUACCCCAGGGGAAUUCAAAAGUGUCUCCGGAGACUUAAAAUGUUAAAUUCAUCUAGGUUUCACAUUCUUCUCCAUGUUCUAUUUGUGCUUACUGCAACAUUAGAAUCCCGAAGCAUGCACGAAUCCUUCCAAAUCUCCAAAUAAAACAUAUUUGUUUGUUUUAA
This is a long non-coding RNA of Homo sapiens (human), 447 nucleotides long. Ensembl annotates it as RNF186 antisense RNA 1. Its record names the gene RNF186-AS1. Lineage: Eukaryota; Metazoa; Chordata; Mammalia; Primates; Hominidae. The record is from Ensembl.